Molecule: ribosomal RNA, 253 nt
Filed under: uncultured bacterium
Lineage: Bacteria
Description: partial 16S ribosomal RNA
Rfam family: Bacterial small subunit ribosomal RNA
Source: RNAcentral
UACGAAGGGGGCUAGCGUUUUUCGGAAUUACUGGGCGUAAAGCGCACGUAGGCGGACUGUUUAGUCGGGGGUGAAAGCCCAGGGCUCAACCCUGGAAUUGCCUUCGAUACUGGCAGUCUCGAGUCUGGGAGAGGUGAGUGGAAUUCCUAGUGUAGAGGUGAAAUUCGUAGAUAUUAGGAAGAACACCAGUGGCGAAGGCGGCUCACUGGUCCGUUUCUGACGCUGAGGUGCGAAAGCGUGGGGAGCAAACAGG